This 274-nucleotide ribosomal RNA is filed under the name uncultured bacterium. RNAcentral describes it as "partial 16S ribosomal RNA". It matches the Rfam family "Bacterial small subunit ribosomal RNA", at positions 523 to 796 of the family's 1533-position model. The record is from RNAcentral.
AUACGGAGGGUGCGAGCGUUAAUCGGAAUCACUGGGCGUAAAGCGCGCGCAGGCGGUCUUUUAAGUUGGAUGUGAAAGCCUACGGCUCAACCGUAGAAUUGCAUCCAAAACUAUUAGACUAGAGUGUGGGAGAGGAAGAUGGAAUUAGUUGUGUAGGGGUAAAAUCCGUAGAGAUAACUAGGAAUACCAAAAGCGAAGGCAAUCUUCUGGAACACUACUGACGCUGAGGCGCGAAAGCGUGGGGAGCAAACGGGAUUAGAAACCCCAGUAGUCC